CCUACGGGUGGCUGCAGUGGGGAAUUUUGGACAAUGGGGGCAACCCUGAUCCAGCCAUGCCGCGUGCGGGAAGAAGGCCUUCGGGUUGUAAACCGCUUUUAGUCGGGAAGAAAAGGCGUCCACUAACACUGGGCGUUCUUGACGGUACCGGCGGAAUAAGCACCGGCUAACUACGUGCCAGCAGCCGCGGUAAUACGUAGGGUGCGAGCGUUGAUCGGAAUUACUGGGGGUAAAGCGUGCGCAGGCGGUUGAAAGCCCCGGGCUCAACCUGGGAAUGGCCGUGGAAACUGGCGGGCUGGAGUGCGGCAGAGGGGGGUGGAAUUCCGCGUGUAGCAGUGAAAUGCGUAGAGAUGCGGAGGAACACCGAUGGCGAAGGCAGCCCCCUGGGCCGACACUGACGCUCAGGCACGAAAGCGUGGGGAGCAAACAGGAUUAGAUACCCCAGUAGUC
This 450-nucleotide ribosomal RNA is filed under the name uncultured bacterium. RNAcentral describes it as "partial 16S ribosomal RNA". It matches the Rfam family "Bacterial small subunit ribosomal RNA", at positions 338 to 795 of the family's 1533-position model. The record is from RNAcentral.